CAACUCUAAGGGGCAUCAUUCACAUAGACUAUGAAGUGAAUAUGCCCCCUAGAGUUGUGC
Molecule: microRNA precursor, 60 nt
Filed under: Pteropus alecto (black flying fox)
Lineage: Eukaryota; Metazoa; Chordata; Mammalia; Chiroptera; Pteropodidae
Description: microRNA pal-mir-7140 precursor
Source: miRBase by way of RNAcentral